RNAcentral lists this long non-coding RNA (511 nucleotides) under Cercocebus atys (sooty mangabey). RNAcentral's name for it is "lncRNA (ENSCATG00000045641.1)". Lineage: Eukaryota; Metazoa; Chordata; Mammalia; Primates; Cercopithecidae. The record is from RNAcentral.
GCCCACUUAACCUCUCGAUGCCUCAUUAUUUCCCUCUAGAAAAUACUUUCACUAUUUGUCCUUGAAUUAAGCAGUGAAGAAGACAACUUUCAACAUUUAAAGUGAGAACUCUGACACAUCCAGAUUUUGUAAGCUGCAUAGAAUGAAUUUCACAGGAUGCAUCCAAUUCAUGGACUCUUACAAGAUUUUAUCAAUACCUACAGCUCUGACCUCUGGGUUGAAAAUUUUGAAGAAGCAGUUACUGGGUCCAGAGAUUCUCUUGUUCACAUCUGACUCUCCUCUAAAGUAUGGAUUAAGAUCCACAUUAUCCCUUUGCCUGACUGAUUCUGUCGACUAUGAGACAAGAUGCCAUGACAGGAAGUACUCGGGCUUGAAGUUAACUGCACUACAGGUUAAAUCCUGAAAUCCUGACUCAGUAGCAUUUUGUCUUUGCCUCCUUUGCCAAGUUUUCUAGAUUCAUAAAAAUGUCACUUCCCCCAUCUCCCAAAGGCAUGGAAAAACUGAAAUUACA